This 172-nucleotide unclassified non-coding RNA is filed under the name uncultured Ophiocordyceps. Its description in RNAcentral is "sequence contains ITS1". The record is from RNAcentral. Lineage: Eukaryota; Fungi; Ascomycota; Sordariomycetes; Hypocreales; Ophiocordycipitaceae.
CAGUAGUCACCCGGGGCGCCGCAAGGCCUCCCGGGUAACCUACCACCCUUUGUUUAUUACACUUUGUUGCUUUGGCAGGCCUGCCCUCGGGCUGCUGGCUCCGGCCGGCGAGCGCUUGCCAGAGGACCUAAACUCAGUUAUUUAUGUCGUCCGAGUAAAUAUAUAAUAUUUA